UACGGGGGGAGCAAGCGUUGUUCGGAUUUACUGGGCGUAAAGGGCGCGUAGGCGGCGCCGCAAGUCGACUGUGAAAUCUCCGGGCUUAACCCGGAAAGGUCAGCCGAUACUGCGGGGCUAGAGUGCAGAAGGGGCAACUGGAAUUCUCGGUGUAGCGGUGAAAUGCGUAGAUAUCGAGAGGAACACCUGCGGCGAAGGCGGGUUGCUGGGCUGACACUGACGCUGAGGCGCGAAAGCUAGGGGAGCGAACGGG
RNAcentral lists this ribosomal RNA (253 nucleotides) under uncultured bacterium. RNAcentral describes it as "partial 16S ribosomal RNA". It matches the Rfam family "Bacterial small subunit ribosomal RNA", at positions 524 to 776 of the family's 1533-position model. The record is from RNAcentral.